This is a long non-coding RNA of Papaver somniferum (opium poppy), 967 nucleotides long. RefSeq lists it as uncharacterized. Lineage: Eukaryota; Viridiplantae; Streptophyta; Magnoliopsida; Ranunculales; Papaveraceae. The transcript has 4 exons. The record is from RefSeq and is a predicted model, not a curated record.
UGCUUUAACGGGCUUCUUCUUUCUUUGCACUUGUACAGGAGAGGUGAUCAAAUCCAAUAUUGCUGCUGCUCUUGUUUUAGACAAAAUCCAAUUUUGCGUGACAAGGUUUUAUUAAUUUGGCUUGUCGCUGCUAUCUUCAUGAUUUUCUAUCCGAUCUGUGCUUGUUAACCUCAAGCGCUGUGUUGUAAAAGGCGUUCUAGGCGAACGAGUCGCUUAAUGACCGCCAAGUAAAAAGCCCAACGCGCCAAAUUGUCAGGAAAUUUUGUGUUUUCUCAAGUUGUCCUCGAAGCCGGAAAAUCUGUACGGGAUCCUUCCAUUUAAUUAGCCAACGGAGUUACUUGUCUCGAUCUCUUGAUAAAAAGAGGAGAUGGGAAUCACUAGACGUUCCAAACGUUUCUGGAUUGGAAGGAAAGAAGAUUAGGGCAACUGCUGAAGAAACAGCUGAAAAUUUGAAAGAUAAGAACAAACAAAAUAAGGAUAUUACGAGGGAGAAUCGAGAGGAUGGGCGAAAGGAUGACAUGUGGUAGUGUGGCAAUUUUGAACAAAGUCCGAGAGCGUGAACUGAAAAGUAGUGGAACCUUGUCGUGGCAGCCUUCCAUCUCUUGUUUGAUUUUCUUUUGAAACCGAAGCAAUGUGUUUGAGAUUCCAGGAGCAAGCACCAUGGUACACUCCAUCCCUUCCCCAUCCUCAAGUGUAAGGAAGGGAUGGAGAGGGACAGGCAGUUCGUGCCUUCUCAUCCCUUCCCUACAUGAAACGCGUACGAAUAGUGCCAAACGAGUAUUCAGUACGCGUAUUUUUUUUUUCAUGAAAAAAUAUUUAUUUAGGUAAAAAAAAGAUUUAGAGUGAAAAAAAUAUAUCAAAUAGGUAAAAAAAUAUAUCAAAUAGGUAAAAAAAUAUAUCAAAUAGGGAAGGGAUAUCCCUCUCCAUAGUGCUAGCUCUAAGAAGAGAACAAAUGAAUUUGACUUAA